CAUCGAAAAGAUUUAUUUGUUUGUAAAUACCCAUGAUAUUAUUGAAACCUUGCUAUAUGCAGAAAUUUACUUUAAGAGACUUGGUUAGUUAUUCAUUUGAUGGCCAGAGAAUUAAAGAUAUGUGUUUAUUUCAGAUAGAAGUUGGAUAUUUAAAAAUUUAUUACACACUAGUUCGUUUUCUCAAUGCGGCUUGGGCACAGAAACGAAAGCAAGCAUUGGUUGAAGUGAUAGAUAGGUUUGUUACGAGUAGACGAGGCUGAAGAGAACCAAGUGCUUUUGACGCUAAAUUCGAAAUCAUGAUACCAGGUUAACUGGAGUUCUUUCUUGCAAUUUUACAGAGUAUUUAAGAAACGCAACAACCUGGAUGACUCAUUAGCUCGAAUAACAACAAUACAUAGUGCCAUUUUAUUCCAUUGCUUACGAUCUGAGUUCUAGUUUCGCUGAGGUCAACUUGGUAUCAACUUAAUCCUUUCGAAGUCGACAAAAGAAAUUUCAGUAAAUCACAAGGCCGAUGAUAUCGAUCCUAAAAUUACUGGCUUCGUGCCAAAAUUAGAAACAAUAUAUUUAAGUGACAUAAUAUAUUUUAGUGGACACUAUUCUAUGCACCCCCUUAUUGUAAUUAUCUUUAUCAUUUUUUCUUUACAUAUUGUGUAAUAUUUAAAACAACGCCUAAACUUAUAAUACAUUCAAUGAAUCAUAUUUCCAUUCUUAUUUUAUAGCCUUUAACUACACAGGCUUUUCACGUAUAAAUAACUGCUACUUUUCCUUGUCUCCUUCUUAUCGUUUGGAUUGAACUUUCAAUGUUUUCUUCUAAUUCAUAUUCUAUGCCUUUAAAGUUCCAAUUGCAUGUUUCUCAAGAAAGAUCACAUGCUUAAAUUUAGUCAUAAAUGAUUAAUGGCCAUGAAUAUCAAAAUAUAUUUUGUAAAACUUUGUAGUAGACACACUGUGAUGUUUACAUGUACCCUUCAUUUAUACAAUCCGUCCGUAGAGGACUUUCUGGAGGCACGUCCUGUUUUACCGAAACAAUUCCCAGUAGGCUUCCAUUAUAUUCAAACAUAUCUUUCCUACGGUAUUGAUCAUGAUUAAACAGAAUAUUAUAUAAACUUAAUAUUUAUAGCAGUUUCAAAUUUCUGUUUGAAACAUUUCCCCCCUUUCGAUAAUAAUAUUACCACUGACACUAUUACAAGGAGCAACCGAUCUACAUUUAUAGAAACUAUUUCAGUAAUACAGUUCUAUAUUUAAAGCUGGAGGGUACGUCAGCCGAAACGUUGUGUUAACAACAAACAAGAUUAGGACAAAUAUCCGUCAAAUGUAGAUAAUGUAAAUAGAAUAGUUAUGAAUAUUAUUAUUAUUAUUAUUGACGUUUUUAUCAGAAGCUCCUAAUAGGUUUUCUUAUAGAUAUACACAAGGACGGUGUUUUCCAUUCGCUAUGGAAUUCUUGGGUUGCUAUGAUCAUGUUUAUCUCUUGUUGUUUCUGUCCUCAGUUACUGCAACUAUCUAACAUUGUCUACAGGUGAAGCAAACUUAAUUUGUUCCUAUUUAUUUUCUUUUAAUUUUAUUUAUCUUCAUUCAUCCCGGCUAAUUUGAAUACUAAUAUUUUUUCUUUAUCUUCGCUUAUUCGGAUCCACUGUUUAUAAUACUUCGUCUGGAUUUAGUAAUAUCUGGAGACAAAAUUUAUUGGAUUCAGUGCAAUUCAUACUUUGGUCUUAUCAAUAUUGGGUUACUUUAACUUUUGAACAAAAUAUAUUCAAGGCCUUUGGUUGUGUGGUAAGAAGCUUGUUUCCCAACCACAUGGUUCUGGGUUCAAUUCCACUGCGUGGCACCUUGGGUAGGUGUCUUCUACUAUAACCUCGGACCGACCAAAGCCAGUCGAAGAAAUCGACCACAGGACUUAUUCUUUGUAAGACUGGUACUUAUUCUAUCCGUUUCUUUUCCUGAACCGCUAGGUUACGGGGUGAGGGGGCCUAACACACCAGCAUCCGUUGUCAAGUGAUGUUGCGCGGACAAGCACAGACACACAUACAUACAUAUAUUGGGAAGCAAGCUUCUCAUCAUACAGCCACACAUGCGCUUAUAUAUAUAUAUGGAUAUAUAUGUAUAUAUAUAUAUAUAUGUAUGUA
Molecule: long non-coding RNA, 2120 nt
Organism: Octopus bimaculoides (California two-spot octopus)
Lineage: Eukaryota; Metazoa; Mollusca; Cephalopoda; Octopoda; Octopodidae
Source: RefSeq, a predicted model, not a curated record